CAUGGAUGCAGCUAGAGAUUACCACACUAACUGUUUCAAACCCAAAUGGAAAGAUGAAUGAGAAAAACUCCCUACUUUUAAAAUCUACCAUGGAGAGAAAACCAGGAGGAAGUCCAAGCUUGCCCUCAGGGAUCUUCCUAGGUUCAGCAGCUUGAGCUGGAAAAAGGAGCACAGCUUGUGCUCUUCUCCCUUUAGCAGCGCCAGAGAAGCACCAGUCAGAGUCCAAACACCCAGAGACCACUUGCUCCUAACACAGAAUAAUGGCCACCGGACCACCAACUCUGUUGCCUCAAGUCAACACCAGCUCUCCUUCACAACAGAUGACAGGCUUUCCAGUAGAAGGGUCUCCCAGAAAAAGAGGGAGCGAAGAGAAAUUCAACUUCACGUCUGUGCUAGGAUCUCAUCAAAUAGGAGUGAAAUGGACAGAUGAAAAAGCUGAAACUGAAGCCAGUCUAAGAGUCUGAGAGUAGAGUCAAACAGUAACCACACAGCUGUCAACCCUGGAGGGAUGUGUGAGGAAUUCAAACCCUCACUUGGCAAAGACCUCCAGGUGCUAUAGAGCCAUCAAGAAGAAAGGAACUUUUGCCCCAGUGCUCAUGCCUUCCUCAAGCAUGACCAGUCUUGGUGGAUACGUGGCACAACCCAGGAGGCUUAAUCUGUAUCUCUCAAUGCAAACCACAACUUUUGCAAGUAGGCCCCUUCUACCACGUGAGGUCACAGCAAGAAGACAACUGUCUAUGAACUAGGAAGCAGGUCUUCAACAGAUAUCAAAUCUGUGGGUAUCUUGGACUUGGACUUCCCAGUCUCCAGAACUGUGAGAAAUAAAUAUUCAUUGUGUGA
Molecule: long non-coding RNA, 840 nt
Organism: Phacochoerus africanus (Common warthog)
Lineage: Eukaryota; Metazoa; Chordata; Mammalia; Artiodactyla; Suidae
Exons: 2
Source: RefSeq, a predicted model, not a curated record